UCUUAUAAGUACGAUCGCCUUCGAAUUCAUAAGUUGUUUUUGAUGAUAGAGCUUUCGAAUCGAUGAUCCAUAUCGUUAAACAUUAUCUAGAACAUUUAAAAUUUCUAAAAAUCAAAUUUUAUAAUUUUUUGAUAUCAUUUACCUUACGAUCAAAAGCUUACAAAAUUAACAAUUUUUAACGGCCGGUAUAAGAUAUUUGCUAGUUUAACGGUGAAAAAAAUCGGAAUUGGUUGAAUUUUGAUAGAAAAUUCUAUUCACUAUGUAAAUAAAGAUCAAUAACUUCGAUCUUAAAUUAAAGAAUCUGAUCAUCCAUUUUCAGGAUGUCGUUCGAUUUUAACUGUUCAUUUUAUACCCGCUUUAUGGAUU
RNAcentral lists this long non-coding RNA (366 nucleotides) under Ananas comosus (pineapple). RNAcentral describes it as "long non-coding RNA (ACOM_LNC008718)". Lineage: Eukaryota; Viridiplantae; Streptophyta; Magnoliopsida; Poales; Bromeliaceae. The record is from RNAcentral.